GACGAACGCUGGCGGCGUGCCUAAUACAUGCAAGUCGAGCGGACGGAUGGGAGCUUGCUCCCAGACCGUCAGCGGCGGACGGGUGAGUAACACGUGGGCAACCUGCCUGUAAGACUGGGAUAACUCCGGGAAACCGGGGCUAAUACCGGAUAACUCUUUCCCUCACAUGAGGGAAAGCUGAAAGAUGGCAUCUCGCUAUCACUUACAGAUGGGCCCGCGGCGCAUUAGCUAGUUGGUGAGGUAACGGCUCACCAAGGCGACGAUGCGUAGCCGACCUGGGGGGGGGAUCGGCCACACUGGGACUGAGAGACGGCCCAGACUCCUACGGGAGGCAGCAGUAGGGAAUCUUCCGCAAUGGACGAAAGUCUGACGGAGCAACGCCGCGUGAGUGAUGAAGGUUUGCGGAUCGUAAAACUCUGUUGUCAGGGAAGAACAAGUACCGGAGUAACUGCCGGUACCUUGACGGUACCUGACCAGAAAGCCACGGCUAACUACGU
RNAcentral lists this ribosomal RNA (497 nucleotides) under uncultured bacterium. RNAcentral describes it as "partial 16S ribosomal RNA". It matches the Rfam family "Bacterial small subunit ribosomal RNA", at positions 28 to 506 of the family's 1533-position model. The record is from RNAcentral.